Molecule: non-coding RNA, 109 nt
Organism: Acanthosepion pharaonis
Lineage: Eukaryota; Metazoa; Mollusca; Cephalopoda; Sepiida; Sepiidae
Source: the annotation of a GenBank genome assembly
GGUAUAUCACAUUGAAAUACCGGUUCUCGUACGAUUAACGAAGUUAAGUAACAUCGAGCUUGGUCAGUACAUAGAUGGGUGACCGCUUGGGACUAUAAGGUGCUGUAAU